Molecule: transfer RNA, 69 nt
Filed under: Fukomys damarensis (Damara mole-rat)
Lineage: Eukaryota; Metazoa; Chordata; Mammalia; Rodentia; Bathyergidae
Rfam family: tRNA
About the family: Transfer RNA (tRNA) molecules are approximately 80 nucleotides in length. Their secondary structure includes four short double-helical elements and three loops (D, anti-codon, and T loops).
Source: Rfam by way of RNAcentral
GGGGAUGUAGCUCAGUGGUGUAGCACCUGUCUGGCAAGCAGGAGGUCCUGAGUUCAAUUCCCGGUACCA